AGAGAGCUGGUAGUAUCGAUACACUACGGUUCGAAGAGACCUUCUCUCUUUUUAUCUACAACAAAAAUUGACAGCAACUUUAUAUUUGAGAUAGAGCAUGAAAUAAAUGAUACAGAACUGAACAGAAUACUUCAAGAAGAAUGGCAGCGUUGCGAAGAUCCUUUAGAUGGCUGUCUGAAAAGAAGAAAACUAUGACGAUUGCCGUUCCAAAGAGCCCAUCUGGUUUCGGCUUCACUGUGGCAUGGACGAAACCACCUGUUGUGGAGUUCGUGAAUGAAGG
Long non-coding RNA from Argiope bruennichi, 280 nucleotides. RefSeq lists it as uncharacterized. The record is from RefSeq and is a predicted model, not a curated record. NCBI's taxonomy places the organism in Eukaryota, Metazoa, Arthropoda, Arachnida, Araneae, Araneidae. The transcript is spliced from 4 exons.